Molecule: long non-coding RNA, 412 nt
Organism: Homo sapiens (human)
Lineage: Eukaryota; Metazoa; Chordata; Mammalia; Primates; Hominidae
Product: long independently transcribed non-coding RNA 2485
Exons: 3
Source: RefSeq, marked validated
AGUCACAAGAGGAUGGGAGAGGAGCAGUCUGCAAGCAGCCGUAGGAGCAAGACCUUGAGACGUGUCCAUCAAUGCUACGAUAGAUUCUGCUUUGGAGAUCAACAUGCUGUAUAUCACAAUAAUGAUGGGACUCACGGCAUGGAGGAUGGACAGAGGAGCUUUCUCCUGGAGUGGUAUUUCUGGAAUUUCUAGUGUCAGGUGCUACUUAAUAUCUCUCACAAGAAAAGAAGAAAUCCCUCUGCCUUUUAAUGUUCUGGGAAUAGAAAGAAUAAAGGAGACUGAGGUGAAUCCACCAAGGAGUAUAGCAAUUUCUAUUUGUCUCCUUAAUAGUCCAACACUUCACUCACACAACAAUGUUACGUAGUUUCAUCAAAUGAUGAGUCCAGCCCCUUUCUUCUGCAGAAAAUGUCAG